ACGAUCGGAAUCAAGUGCUUGUAUAGAAAUUUUUUUCAUUUGACGAGAUAUCUUUACAAAAUUCGGCAUGGAUUACAAGUGUUGUCCAAGCAACGGUGCAAUUUCUGGAGAAACUGUUCAAAUCGGACCACUAUAGCAUACACGUAUAUGUAUUGUAGCUGGUCGAAAAAGACAUAAUAUUUAUAAGACUGUCAUUACUUUAAUUACAAUUGUGUUUGUAUAUAUACUGAAAAAAAACUUUAUGUAAGGUUACAGCUGUACAUAGACCCUUAUAAUUAAAAUAUUUGGCGUUUUCAUUAAUUUAAUUUCGGUCCAAAGGGCAUAUUAGCUAAAGCGCUGUCAUUUAAAGCUUGGCCACACGGUACCAAAUGUUUCCAUGGGUUAUUCAAUAUUACUGCAUGCAUUUGUAUUUGUACACUUUAGUCACUUUGUUAAGUAGAAUUGUUGUCACACAUGAUUAAAUCCAUUUGUUUAUUUCGAUUUUACAAACACAUUUCAUUCUGUUUUUUUUUUUCAUUUUACAAAUUGUUUUCAUUCUAUUUCGCCUAAAGCCAUAUUACGUCAACUAAAAGUAGCUAUGAGAAACGAGCGAUCGAAAACGACCAUCGAAGCAACGACACGCCGAACAACCUAAAUACAAUGGCUAUUGGCGCAGGUAAGCAGCAGCAGUAGACAAUAACAACGAUGACACCAAAAGAUAGCAAAGCAGAGGAAGCAAGCAAGAUAUGUAUGUGUGUAUGUAUAUAUUUUUUGUUUGUUUUUUGAACUGGAAAUGAGCGAAAACAGCCAACGAGCUGCAGUUAAACAACAAAGUAGCGAACAACGAGCGUAUGGGAAUGUGGUGUCAAUGGUGUCAGUGGUGGCUGUCAGUUGAAAUUGUUGAUGAAGUUACUUUGCAGUGGUUACUGGUGAACUGCGAAAGGAGGCGAACGCGUACAAAGAAGCAGCGAGUUGGCAAGCAGCAGCCACGCGAAGCCAACUUUCAAUUUUCAAUUGGAGGACAGACAAUUUGGCGAAAGAAAUUGGAAAAAUAAAACAACAGCCAAAAGAUACGUGCUGUAUUAUUUAUUAUUAUUUAUACUAUUUUCAGUGUUUAUUAUGGCAAAAACAACACAAAUCGCUUAAAUUUGCAAGCAAAAAUGAAAGAAAGCUGCCGCACCAGCUGAGUCUGCGGCACUUGUGUACAUAAUCACACGCUGACAGUUACACACGUUUUAAAUGAAAAUAUUUUUCUGAGAAAUUUUGCACA
Long non-coding RNA from Bactrocera oleae (olive fruit fly), 1249 nucleotides. RefSeq lists it as uncharacterized. NCBI's taxonomy places the organism in Eukaryota, Metazoa, Arthropoda, Insecta, Diptera, Tephritidae. The record is from RefSeq and is a predicted model, not a curated record.